AUUGAACGCUGGCGGCAUGCUUUACACAUGCAAGUCGAACGGCAGCGCGGGCUUCGGCCUGGCGGCGCGUGGCGAACGGGUGAGUAAUGCAUCGGAACGUGCCCAGUAGUGGGGGAUAGCCCGGCGAAAGCCGGAUUAAUACCGCAUACGACCUGAGGGUGAAAGCGGGGGACCGAAAGGCCUCGCGCUAUUGGAGCGGCCGAUGUCGGAUUAGCUAGUUGGUGGGGUAAAGGCUUACCAAGGCGACGAUCCGUAGCUGGUCUGAGAGGACGACCAGCCACACUGGGACUGAGACACGGCCCAGACUCCUACGGGAGGCAGCAGUGGGGAAUUUUGGACAAUGGGGGCAACCCUGAUCCAGCCAUGCCGCGUGCGGGAAGAAGGCCUUCGGGUUGUAAACCGCUUUUGUUCGGGAAGAAAUCCUCUGGGCUAAUACCCCGGGGGGACGACGGUACCGGAAGAAUAAGCACCGGCUAACUACGUG
Molecule: ribosomal RNA, 484 nt
Filed under: uncultured bacterium
Lineage: Bacteria
Description: partial 16S ribosomal RNA
Rfam family: Bacterial small subunit ribosomal RNA
Source: RNAcentral